AGAAUGAGGAACACUUCUAUGACCCACAGAGUGGAUCCAGCUACUUGGCCUGGAGGAUAAAGACUGUUCAGCGCAACACUGCAGCUCAGUCCUGGAGAUCUUCCACCAGCACAACCUAUCAAGAUAGUCCAAAGAGGGAGGUUCUCUGCACUGAUAAGCAGCUGCUUGAUGAGCACUGUCAUGAAGCAGUAUCCUUUUUGAAACAUUCAACUGAUGAAUCGGCAAUCAAAGAGAAGAUGAGGGCCACGUUUCAGUACCGCCAAACACUGGUUCAAGAUCAGCAGUGCUCUUCGACAGUCUUGGAUGUCUUCCCAUGAUUCCUCAACAUCACUGGCUUGGCUGGGACAGUGACCUGUCAAGCAUUUGACUGUUGGUUCACCUGCUUCCCCCUACCUCCAAAGGCCACAAGAAGAGUGCUAAAAUCAGCUCCUGUCAAGCUGUUGACCACGUUGUGAGAUUUGCAGAUGGGAGCCAGUGUUGAAACCUUCCUUGCUGUUGUGGAGCCAGGACAGCCCUUCCUCCUGUGUGUUGGUGAAAAGAAGAACAGCAUCCAAAGAUACUGUGUCAUCAUUGAUCACAAGGCCAUCCCUUGCAAGGCACAGACAUCCCUGGCAGCUUUCAAUGAGCUCUUCAAAGCACACUUCAUCUUCAGUGUCAACUACCAUGAAUCCCUCUACAACUUCUAUACUGUUAGAUCAGAGAUUUACCAUCUCUUCCUCUUGCCCCAAUCGGAGCGAUUACCCUCUCACAGAUCGGUCCCCCCAUGUCACCCAGAACUCUGGGGCGAAUCAUGAAACAAGACAGGAACCCAGAAAUUAGUUUCACCAUCUUUAUUCACAGCUUCGCCGAAAGGCAAAGAGAAAACAGGAGAUUUUAUAUGCAUGUGUGUUUUGCUAUCUGUAACUAGGUCAGUCUGUAAGCCCUUAUCAACAAUACUCAAGGUUGACUGAGAAAGGAAUGUAUGCUGGAGAGAGAGAGAGAGAAAACCUUCUGUAUGUGUGAGUGAAACCUUGGUCUGAGCAGGUCACAUCUUAAUUACGUCAAUAAGCAAAAUAUUCUGAUAGGAUGUUCAGACAGAUAUCAAAGGCCAUUUCUUAUCAAUAAUGUUCUGAUGUACAGCCUAUUCUUAAGAUAGAACACAGCCUUACGACAGAAAUGGAAUUUUUAAACAAUGUCUAGCUGACCAGAAGGUCAUUUUUAACUGUUUUAGCUGAACAGAAUAAAUCCUUUACAAUUAUUAAGAAUAAAUUCUUACAAUUAAGAAUAAAUCCUUACAUAUACAUUCAUCCAAACCACAUUUUUUAACAUCGAUGUAGGAAGUGCCAAGGAAAGUCCCAGAGUGAAGGAGCUAAGAGCAAGAUUUUUGCACGACACUUGAGGUAAUAAAUAUCCUUGGAUGCCAAAUAUGUUUCUUUAUGUCUGUAAGGCACACCACAAGUUCUGCAUUGCUUUGUCAGCAUUUAAGACUCCACCACAGUCUAUAUCCUGGAAAGGCUUGUUUGAAAUGUGGACAGCCGGGAUGUUGUUUAUCAUUUUGCACUUAUUCAGGUUUCAAGAAGCAUCUUGUUCAUUUCCAUAGAGAUGUUGCUUUGAUUAAUACUGCUGAAAAUGUGGACACUCAGAAUGAAGCUGGUGAGCCCUCAACUUUACAGGCAGUCAGUACAGGCUCUCCAAUAACUAGCCAGCUCUCUGUUGACAAUCACGUGUUAAACGUGUGCUUCUGUUGUCGCACAGUUGCAAGCAUCAGGUGUUGCUGAGAGCACAGUCCAAGCAAUGGUGGGGUCCAUGGAGGAACUUGUAAAUGACAUUCAUAUGCAAGCGAGAGAGGCAGUUCUUAGCUGUACGUCAGAAAUUCAAGGCACAGAUUUGGAAAAGAAGGUGGAAAAGUGUUUUGAUCAACUAGAAAAUCCUUUCUCAUCCUUGAAUACAAGAGUCAAACGACAGAAGUUCUUUGAGGAAAAGUGGGAAAUUGUUGAGCCUGUUGAAUGUUCUUGGGGUGCGGUUUGAUGUUCGCAGAGAUCAAACAGGAGUUUAGUCAGGUCCCUAUAACAGAUAAAUUUGUGUAUACACCCAUUCUCUGAACUCUUAAGUCUAUGUUCAAGAACACUGAAUUAUAUGAAAGUUUCUUGCAAGCCAAACAUCACGAAGAAGGCAUUUAUAAAGACGCAUGUGAUGGUUCAUACUUCAAAAGUAACAUUUUGUUUUUCCAGAAAAAACAUGCUCUACAGAUUUCAACUUUUAUUUUGAUGAGUUUGAGACAGCAAAUCCCUUAGGUUCAAAGAAAGGGAUCUACAAACUUGGUUGUCUCAUCUCAUUAU
Long non-coding RNA from Neoarius graeffei (lesser salmon catfish), 2318 nucleotides. RefSeq lists it as uncharacterized. The record is from RefSeq and is a predicted model, not a curated record. The transcript has 3 exons. Lineage: Eukaryota; Metazoa; Chordata; Actinopteri; Siluriformes; Ariidae.